This 492-nucleotide ribosomal RNA is filed under the name uncultured bacterium. Its description in RNAcentral is "partial 16S ribosomal RNA". It matches the Rfam family "Bacterial small subunit ribosomal RNA", at positions 29 to 507 of the family's 1533-position model. The record is from RNAcentral.
AGUGAACGCUGGCGGUAGGCCUAACACAUGCAAGUCGAACGGCAGCACAGUAAGAGCUUGCUCUUACGGGUGGCGAGUGGCGGACGGGUGAGGAAUACAUCGGAAUCUACUUUUUCGUGGGGGAUAACGUAGGGAAACUUACGCUAAUACCGCAUACGACCCACGGGUGAAAGCAGGGGAUCUUCGGACCUUGCGCGAUUGAAUGAGCCGAUGUCGGAUUAGCUAGUUGGCGGGGUAAAGGCCCACCAAGGCGACGAUCCGUAGCUGGUCUGAGAGGAUGAUCAGCCACACUGGAACUGAGACACGGUCCAGACUCCUACGGGAGGCAGCAGUGGGGAAUAUUGGACAAUGGGCGCAAGCCUGAUCCAGCCAUACCGCGUGGGUGAAGAAGGCCUUCGGGUUGUAAAGCCCUUUUGUUGGGAAAGAAAAGCAGCAGGUUAAUACCCCGCUGUUCUGACGGUACCCAAAGAAUAAGCACCGGCCAACUUCGUG